RNAcentral lists this long non-coding RNA (277 nucleotides) under Setaria italica (foxtail millet). Its description in RNAcentral is "long non-coding RNA (SITA_LNC005322)". The record is from RNAcentral. Lineage: Eukaryota; Viridiplantae; Streptophyta; Magnoliopsida; Poales; Poaceae.
AGAGCCCAAAAAGCCAAGGAGAGAGCUGCAACAGAAGUCACUGAUGAUAAGGGGCCAAAGACUCUAAGGGAACCUUCAGCAACAAUUGUCACACCUGCACCUACGUCACCUCCCCCUGCUACUCCCACACAGGCAGAAUAGUCCUAACCUUCUUGGUGGUGAUGAAGAGUUGCUGGUUACUCCCACACAGGCAGAAACAGUCCUAGCCUUCUUGGUGGUGAUGAAGGGUUGCUGGUUACUCCCACACAGGCAGAAUAUUCCUAGCCUUCUUGGUGGU